This 778-nucleotide long non-coding RNA is filed under the name Fragaria vesca (wild strawberry). RNAcentral's name for it is "long non-coding RNA (FVES_LNC003935)". The record is from RNAcentral. Lineage: Eukaryota; Viridiplantae; Streptophyta; Magnoliopsida; Rosales; Rosaceae.
GCAAUCAGUCUCCACAAAAAUAGGCAGAAUUCUUGUGUCUUGAGCAAUUGAAGAUCAACCUCUAACUUAUCUAAUAAAGCGGAAACAAACAUCCAAUCUAAAAUGUCUCCACCAUAUCAUCAUUCGAGUCCUCCAAAAUCUUUAUCAUCAUCAGCCUCAGCCACUGGUACACCCCUAGCUUUGAACUUAGAGCCACUGGUAUACCCCCAGCUUUGAACUUAGCCGGAAUCUCAUUAUACUCAGCUAACCUUUCCACCUACUUUUCGAGUACAGAUUUUCCAGGAAAAUCUUAGAUAGAUUUGCAAGGUAAAAUUUCAUCUUCUCAUGCUCAAACUCUCAUAAAUCGUCUCCCAGCAGUUCAGUGUUAGCUUUCCCGAAGUCAAACAUUUUCUUUGCACAAUCUUUGUCUUUAAAAUUCCACACAGGACAUCACCAACUCUUGUUUCUUCACCUUAGCCACAGGUGAGAGGAGUCCCAAUGGUACUCUUAGUUUCUUGCUGCUGUUAAAAAAGGCCAAAGAAAAAACAUUAGUUAUUUUUAGAUAAGUUCAUCCGAAUAAUAUACAAACUUUUACUCCUUAUAAAUUUUGGUGUAUCAAGUUUUGAAAAUGAAGGUUAUUCAAUUGCUACCCUCUAAUCAGUUAUUAUCCGUCCUGGUUGGAUAGAAAAUAGCUACGGGCUAGUAAGGCACACUUGAUUGUGUUUCACAUGAGAUGGGAACAAGAUGAAGACUACUUUAAAAAGUGGUUGAGGUAAAGUUCUAAAACAUUUUGUUUUUG